UAUAAUAUGAAAAUCACUCGCGAUUUUGGUGUUAUUCACAAGAAGAUGAACUUUAAUAUACCGGUGGAAACUCUCGGUAGAUCUGCUAGCAGAGCUUGAGGUUCUUUGAACUGGCUACCUGCAUUCUAAGCUAUAUCGAACAUUUUCUGCUAUCAUAAUUGUAUUACCCUACUUAUCGUAGGGCAUGAAAAAUAAGUCUAUAGACUCGUUCAUGUUCCUCUCCACGGAAAUCUUUAGUAAAAGGCGAAAGAUUUAAUCGUGGAUUGAAGAGAAACCAGAGUAUUAUUAUUACGUUUCAAAGAGAGCUUACAUAAUCAUUCUUUCUUACUUAGCAUAGGUUUUAAGGUAAAUCCUGUAAUCAUUAUCAAGUCUUUCAAUAAGUUAUAAAUCAAUCGUAUUUUUCUUUUAAAUUGAGAUUAAUUGUAAUAUAAUGGAAAUAAUGGUUUAAAUCAUUUAUAAUCAAAUGUUUAUUCUAAUUUAAUCCACAUCACAAAAUAUUGUUUUAAAAAACUACAAAGGGAGACAACUUCCUAGAGUGUACAAUUUUAUAGAUUUCUUUUAUUAUACAUGUCUAUGUACAUGUACAUAUGAUUGGGAUCAAAGGAUUUUGAGUUAUCGGAAUGGUUUCUUUGAUUUAAAAAUACAUUGGAUUUAUAUUUAGUAUGUGGAUGUUGUUAGUAAUCCCAUACACAGGAGGUGGAGGGUCGCUUUAAAUAAAGUCUCUCAUGCGGGUCUUUUUGUCCUUUCUCCAAGGAAAUACACUAUAUCAUACUGCUAAAGGAAAUGUUCAUCACGGUCAUUACUAGAAAUUGAUUAAAUUUUUAUAUCCUAUGUCAUUAUUUUAUUUCUGUUUUAUUUGAAUCAAAAUUGUUUCCCCUUUGUGGUUUUCAAUUUUAAAUAACAAAUUUAAGGUGGAUCGAUCCUCAUAUGACUUAUCAAUACACGUAUCAACACUUCGCCGCAAGUUACGUCCCUUUGCGGGGUCAGCCAAAGGUCAAUCGGUGAAAAACCCAGUUUUCCUUCUUUACCUUACCAAAUGUAAGAUGUUAUUACUUUGAAUUUUAGCCAAUUACCAAGUUUUCAUACAAGUUAAUGGGUUGCCCCAAUCUGGGGCAUAUUGUAGUUGACUGCAAUUGAUGGAAAAAUAACAGAUGUCAAAGCUACAGAUAGGAAAAUUACAAAGGCCAACGUAGGGAAAUACGAUUUUUAUCCGGAAGAUGGUGGACAAGGGACGUAACUUUCGCGAAGUGUUGAUACGUGUAUAUUAAUGGUUAAAAGUGGAAAAACUGUAUUAAUUUCCACUCAAUAUAGUUUAAUUCAAUCAAUAACCAAAGAAAAUGUGUACGUUGCCACCUUUUUAAAGAUGUCAGACAUACAAAAACAGAAGUAUAUACAUGUAUCAACAUAAAAAAAUCACACAUUUUCGUUAAACAGAAUAAUGAAAAUUAAUAAUAUAAAAAAAAAACCUUGCUGAAAUGACACAUUUCAAAUGUCAACAGUUUAAGAAAACUGCUAAUCCAUAGAUAUAUGAAAAUUAAUUGUGGAUAUUAGGGAAAUCAUUGUGUCAUAGACAUUCAGUAGAGGAAAUUCCAGCAUAGGAGUUAUUGCCCUUGACAACAUUUUUAAAAUUAUAAAUCAUCGAUUAUCUGUGGAAAAUAAAACCUUUUUCAGUAUUAAAAGUUUACCAAAUUUUUUAUUUUAUUCAGUAAAUGAAAAUCCUCUGAAAGAUAUAUUUCUAUCAUGCCCACAAUUUAAUUUAAUAAAGAUUUUGCAAAAACCUAUGCCAUCACAAGAGGAUCGAUCGACCUUAAUUCACGACCGUAAGUUAACUUUUGCUACUUUCAUUAACCUUGAAAAAUCUUUUGAUUUCGUCAUUAGAGAUUUACAACAUUAUAAACUGCAACUAAAUGGAAUGAAUGGUAUAAUAUAUAACGUUAUUUGUAGCUUAUAUUCAAAAUCAUUUUAACGGUCUUCGUACAAAUUGGUUUCAAUGCUCAAAUGGCGUAAGUCAAGAUGAAAACUUAUCACUCUCGCUGUUUUGUCUUUUUAUCAACAACCGUGCGACACAAAUUUCACAGCUAAUUAUGGAGUAAAUAUUGAAGAUGAAAAGUGAACAUUUUAUCUUUAACCAACGAUAUUGUUUAUCUCAGCGAAAAUGAGACUGAUAUGCCAAAUGUCCUUGAUAUUCUUUCAAGUUGGUGUAAACCAGUGGCGGGUUUAAUGGGGGGCGCAGUCUCUCCCCCCCCCCCCCUUAAAAUUUUAAAAUUUAAGGUAAAUCACGGUAUCUUGUUUCGGAAAAUGUACUAAACGAUAAAAGAAGCAAUAAUUUCUACCACUCCCGGAGAAAUAAAUGACAAAAUCCUUUGAUUUCUUGAAUUACUUCAUUGGGAGAACCUAAUUGUUUCCAAAUAACCCUUAAAAUUUGGGUCAUUGUAUUAAUUUCACCUUAUUGAAAGGAUAGAGAAUAGUACAAAUGUCUUCAUAGGAGAAAUAUUUCAAGCCCCAUAAAAUCUGUAAAAUCCAUGAGCUUCCGGGAGCUUCGCCCCCUGGACCACGCCCAGGGCUUCACCCUGGACCCGCUGUCUCAUAAAGUGGCGCCCCCCGUUACCACAAUUCCAGGAUCCGCCCCUUGAAAACGGUGAAGAUUAAAUGUGAACUGCUAAAUCGAACAUAAUGCAUUUCAGGAAACACAACAUCCCUGAAAGAAAAUUUCAAUUCAAUAAUUGGAGAAGAGGUACAAUAUGAAAAUCACUCGCUAUUUCGGUGAUUUUCACGAGAAGAUGAACUUUAAUAUACCGGUGAAACUCUCGCUAAAUCUGCUAGCAGAGCUUGAGGUUCUUUGAACUGCCUACCUACAUUCCAAACUAUAUCGAACAUUGUCUGCUAUCAUAAUUGUAUUACCCUAUUUAUCGUAGGGCAUCAAAAAUAAGUCUAUAGACUCGUUCAUGUUCCUCUCCACGGAAAUCUUUAGUAAAAGGCGAAAGAUUUAAUCGUGGAUUGAAGAGAAACCAGAGUAUUAUUAUUACGUUUCAAAGAGAGCUUACAUGAUCACUUUUUCUUACUUAGCAUAGGUUUUAAGGUAAAUCCUGUAAUCAUUAUCAAGUUUUUCAAUAAGUUAUAAAUCAAUCGUAUUUUUCUUUCAAAUUGAGAUCAAUUGUAAUAUAAUGGAAAUAAUGGUUUAAAUCAUUUAUAAUCAAAUGUUUAAUCUAAUUUAAUCCACAUCACAAAAUAUUGGUUUAAAAAAAUUACAAAGGGAGACGACUUCCUAAAUUGUACAAUUUGAUAGAUUAGUUUUAUUAUAUAAUUUUCCACCUAGCUGGUCGGUCAGUUAUUUUUUUUUUUUUUACACCUGGCCGAUCUUGAUCACCCAUGUGGCCAAAUUUUCUCGUCUUCAGAAAGUGGUCAUACCUUAAGGGCAAUUUACACAUGUUUUACUACAAUAUAAACUGCCACCAAAUGGAAUCACUUGCAUAAUAUAUAACGCUAUUUGUAGCUUAUCUUCAGAAUCAUUUCCCUGUGUCUACAUCAACGCUCUUAGUACGAAUUGGUUUCAAUGCUCAAAUGGCGAAACACAGCAUCCCUGGAAGAAAAUUUCAAUUCAAUAAUUGGAGAAGAGGUACAAUAUGAAAAUCACUCGUUAUUUCGGUGUUACUCACGAGAAGAUGAACUUUAAUAUACCGGUGGAAACUCUCGCUAAAUCUGCUAGCAGAGAUUGAGGUUCUUUGAACUGGCUACCUGCAUUCCAAGCUGUAUCGAACAUUUUCUGCUAUAAUAAUGGUAUUACCCUACUUAUCGUACGGCAUCAAAAAUAAGUCUAUAGACUCGUUCAUGAUCCUCUCCACGGAAAUCUUUAGUAAAAGGCGAAAGAUUUAAUCGUGGAUUGAAGAGAAACCAGAGUAUUAUCAUUACGUUUCAAAGAGAGCUUACAUGAUCACUCUUUCUUACUUAGCAUAGGUUUUAAGGUAAAUCCUGUAAUCAUUAUCAAGUCUUUCAAUAAGUUAUAAAUCAAUCGUAUUUUUCUUUUAAAUUGAGAUUAAUUGUAAUAUAAUGGAAAUAAUGGUUUAAAUCAUUUAUAAUCAAACGUUUAUUCUAAUUUAAUCCACAUCACAAAAUAUUGUUUUAAAAAACUACAAAGGGAGACAUCUUCCUAGAGUGUACAAUUUUAUGGAUUUGUUUUAUUAUAUAUGUACAUAUGCAUAUGAUUGGGACCAAAGGGUUUUGAGUUAUCGGAAUGGUUUCUUUGAUUUAAAAAUACAUUGGAUUUAUAUUUAGUAUGUGGACGUUGUUAGUAGUCCAGUACACAGGAAUUAAAGGGCUGCUUUAAAUAAAGUCUCUCAUGCGUGUCUGUUUGUCCUAUCUCCAAGGAAAUACACUACUAAUAUAUAAUACUGCUAAAGGAAAUGUUCAUCAUGACCAUUACUGGAAAUUAAUUAAAUUUCUAUAUCGUAUGUCAUUAUUUUAUUUCUUUUUCAUUUGAAUCAAAAUUCUUUCCCUUUUGUGGUUUUUAAUUCUAAAUAACAGAGUUCAACAAUGUAUCAAAGACAGUGAAACACCUUCUUACGCACAAAAGAGAUUCCGACGAGAUAGACCAUGUGAAGAUGAUGUUUUUACCUUAACCAAUUUAAUUCACGACCCUAAGUCAACUUUUUCUACUUUCAUUGACCUUGAAAAAUCUUUUGAUUUCGUCAUUAGAGAUUUACUACAAUAUAAACUGCAAUUUAAUGGAAUCAAUGGUACAAUAUAUAUCGCUAUUUGUAGCUUAUAUUCUAAAUCAUUUAAGUCAAGGUGAAAACUUAUCACUCUCGUUGUUUUCUCUCUUUAUCAACGACAGUGCGACACAAUUUCCACAGCUAAAUACGGUAGUAAAUAUUGAAGAUGAAAAGAUGAACAUUUUCCCAUACGCCGACGAUAUUGUUAUUCUCAACAAAAUUGAGACUGAUAUGCAAAAAAUUCUUUUGAUAUUCUUUCAAAUUGGUAUAAAACGGUGGAUUGAUUGAUUGUAUCUUGCUUAACGUGUCGCUAGAGAAUUUUUCACUCGAUCAUAUGGAGACGUCACCAAGACCGGUGAAGGGUUUCAAAUUUAGACCUAUGCUCAACGCUUACGGCCAUUGAGCAGUGAGGAUUCUUUAGCGUGCCACACCUACUUUGACACGGGUCAUCCGUUUUUAAGGUUAUCUCCGAGGAGUGUGGCGGAAAACAUCAAUAAAUCAAUCAAUCUGUCGCGGCCGGGAUUCGAAUCCCCCGACCUUCCGCAUGCAGUGUGAACGCAAGAAACCUCUCGGUCACCGCGGCGUUAUAUAAACGGUGGAGAUUAAAUGUGAACUGUGCUAAAUCAAACAUAAUGGAUUUCAGGAAACACAACAUCCCUCAAAGAAAAUUUUAAUUCAAUAAUUGGAGAAGAGGUACAAUAUGAAAAUCACUCGCUAUUUCGGUGUUAUUCACGAGAAGAUGAACUUUAAUAUACCGGUGGAAACUUGAGGUUCUUUGAACUGGCUACCUGCAUUCCAAGCUAUAUUGAACAUUGUCUGCUAUCAUAAUUGUAUUACCCUACUUAUCGUAGGGCAUCAAAAAUAAGUCUAUAGACUCAUUCAUGAUCCUCUCCACGGAAAUCUUCAGUAAAAGGCGAAAGAUUUAAUCGUGGAUUGAAGAGAAACUGGAUUGUUAUUAUUACGUUUAAAGAGAGCUUACAUGAUCACUUCUUCUUACUUAGCAUAGGUUUUAAGGUAAAUCCUGUAAUCAUUAUCAAGUCUUUCAAUAAGUCAUAAAUCAAUCGUAUUUUUCUUUCAAAUUGAGAUUAAAUGUAAUAUAAUGGAAAUUAUGGUUUAAAUCAUUUAUUAUCAAAUGUUUAUUCUAAUUUAAUCCACAUCACAAAAUAUUGUUUUUAAAAAAUUACAAAUUAAAGGGAAACAACUUCCUAGAGUGUACAGUUUUAUAGAUUAGUUUUACUACAUAUGUACAUGUGCAUAUGAUUGGGACCAAAGCGUUUCGAGUUAUCGGAAUGGUUUCUUUGAUUUAAAAAUACUUUGGAUUUAUAUUUAGUAUGUGGAUGUUGUUAGUAGUCCCGUACAUAGGAUUUAAAGGCCCGCUUUAAAUAAAUUCUCUCAUGCGUGUCUGUUUGUCCUAUCUCCAAGGAAAUACACUAUAUCAUACUGCUAAAGGAAAUGUUUAUCACGACCAUUACUGGAAAUUGAUUAAAUUUCUAUAUCGUAUGUCAUUAUUUUAUUUCUUUUUCAUUUGAAUCAGAAUUGUUUCCCCUUUGUGGUUUUCAAUUCUAAAUAACAAAAGUUCAGCAAUGUCUCAAAGACAGUGAAACAUCUUCUGACGCACAAAAGAGAUUCCGACGAGAUAGACCAUGUGAAGAUGAUGUUUUUACCUUAACCAAUUUAAUUCACGACCGUAAGUCCACUUUUGCUACUUUCACUGACCUUGAAAAAUCUCUUGAUUUUGUCAAUAGAGAUUUAUACUAAUAUAAACUGCUACUAAAUGGAAUCAAUGGUAUAAUAUAUAACGCUAUUUGUAGCUUAUAUUCAAAAUCAUUUUAACGGUCUUCGUACAAAUUGGUUUCAAUGCUCAAAUGGCGUAAGUCAAGGUGAAAACUUACCACUCUCGUUGUUUUCUCUCUUUAUCAACGACCAUGCAACACAAAGAGGGUGUUGCACCGAAGCGGUAAUUUUCCCUAAUCGGUGCUCCGUGCCAGCAUUCGUGACGUAGAGCUGACCUUCAUUCAUAUUUAUACUCAUUGCGUAUUUGCCAUUUAAAUACUUGAAGGAUUCCC
This is a long non-coding RNA of Ostrea edulis (European flat oyster), 6775 nucleotides long. RefSeq lists it as uncharacterized. The record is from RefSeq and is a predicted model, not a curated record. The transcript is spliced from 2 exons. NCBI's taxonomy places the organism in Eukaryota, Metazoa, Mollusca, Bivalvia, Ostreida, Ostreidae.